Molecule: ribosomal RNA, 1246 nt
Filed under: metagenome
Description: bacterial LSU rRNA
Rfam family: Bacterial large subunit ribosomal RNA
Source: RNAcentral
UGAAUACGAGACGCUAAGGCGUCGAAGUAGUGUAUGUCAUACUUCCAAGAAAAGCUUGCACUGUCAUAGAUAAAAAACGCCUGUACCAUAACCGACACAGGUGGGUAGGUAGAGUAUACUAAGGGGCGCGAGAUAACUCUCUCUAAGGAACUCGGCAAAAUAACUCCGUAACUUCGGGAGAAGGAGUGCCUUAUUCGUAAGGUUGCAAUAACAAGAUCCAAGCAACUGUUUAUCAAAAACACAGGUCUCCGCUAAGUCGUAAGACGAUGUAUGGGGGCUGACGCCUGCCCAGUGCCAGAAGGUUAAAGAAGUUGGUUAGCAAUUGCGAAGCUGAUAACUGAAGCCCUGGUGAACGGCGGCCGUAACUAUAACGGUCCUAAGGUAGCGAAAUUCCUUGUCGGGUAAGUUCCGACCCGCACGAAAGGCGUAAUGAUUUGGAUACUGUCUCGGAGAGGGGCUCGGUGAAAUAGACUUGUCUGUGAAGAUGCGGACUACCUGCACCAGGACAGAAAGACCCUAUGAAGCUUUACUGUAACUUGAAAUUGAAAUUGGACUUUAUUCGCGCAGUAUAGGUGGGAGGCGUUGAUUAUAAUCUUGUGGGAUUAUUGGAGCCAUCAGUGAGAUACCACUCUUGUAAUGUUAGAUUUCUAACUUUGAAUCAUUAUCUGGUCAAAGAACAGUUUCAGGCGGGCAGUUUGACUGGGGCGGUCGCCUCCUAAACGGUAACGGAGGCGUACAAAGGUUUCCUCUGAACGGUUAGAAAUCGUAUCUAGAGUGUAAAGGCAUAAGGAAGCUUGACUGUGAGACCUACAAGUCGAGCAGGGACGAAAGUCGGUCUUAGUGAUCUGACGGUACUGAGUGGAAAGGCCGUCACUCAACGGAUAAAAGUUACUCUAGGAUAACAGGCUGAUCUCCCCCAAGAGUUCACAUCGACGGGGAGGUUUGGCACCUCGAUGUCGGCUCAUCGCAUCCUGGGGCGGUAGUACGUCCCAAGGGUUGGGCUGUUCGCCCAUGAAAGCGGUACGCGAGCUGGGUUCAGAACGUCGUGAGACAGUUCGGUCCAUAUCCGGUGUAGGCGUUAGAAUAUUGAGAGGAGCCUUCUUUAGUACGAGAGGACCGAGAAGGACAUACCUCUGGUGUACCAGUUAUCGUGCCAACGGUAAACGCUGGGUAGCUAUGUAUGGAGUGGAUAACCGCUGAAAGCAUCUAAGUGGGAAGCCCACCUCAAGAUAAGUAUUCUCAUCAG